GAGCUCUUGUAUUCGAGCCCCCUGACUUGUAAUAUGAUGCUUGUAUGACUUAUUUUAUUUGUAGAGUUGUGUUGUGAUAUCUUCCCGUGAGUCCCUGAUCUUGAUCAUACACAUUUGCGUGUAUGAUUAGUGUACGAUUGAAUCGGGGGGCGUCACAGCUGAUCCUUCGUGGGUGAAUUGGAUCCUCGGUGAAAGUCAACUUGUCCGAUCGCUACGCGUGGUGGUUGAGGAAAGGCGGAAACAACGGGACGUGCGACGAUGUCGAACCGCUUGUCCUCUUGCAUGCCGCACCCUAGAUUCUUUUCCCCCAAUCUCCACAGCCGUCUCCCACACCCUUCCUCCUCCUUCCUUCCUCGCUCGUCAGCCACCGCAGCCGCCGCACCCUCCCACAUCGGACGCUGCUAGGCUCGUCCAUGGCUCCAUCUCUCGUCCCAGCCUGACUCAGGCGGAGCCAGGGCAGCAGAGAGGAGGAAGGGAGGCAGAGGAACGAUGGGGAAGGGGAUGUCAGAAUCCAAUCGCCCCGGCCGUGCCUACACGAGUAGCACCGCUUCUUCCCUCCCCGACGAGGGGUAGGUCUUGACAAUGGCUGCCCGAGGCCGUCAGAUCCAUCACCGUCGUCGUUCUUUUGGUCGAGGCAGUCGUCGUCCACGUGCUCCUCUUCACCACCACAGCUGGACGCUGAUUUGCCCAGUUCUCAGUCUAGAUUUAAUGAAGGAAACAGCUGUUCAUACAUCGCCAAUUAUGGAUAUGGAUCCAUCUUGCUGCGCUGGAUGAAGGGUUGGAUGGAACAAGAAUUGCUUCCUCUAGGAAGAUAUAAUCAGGAGGGACCAUCUAAUGGUUGCUAAAGUUACUUCUGAAUGCACUCUCUAAAGAUCGGGCUGGGCUUGACCGGGUUUUUGGAGUUCUCUUCUCGUUUCUUAGGAUCCUCAUGCUGUUUGACAAGGGGUUCCUUGCAAUGGGAAAUGUUCUCUUCGUCUCUGGUGUUCCGCUAACGAUUGGACUAAAGUCAACUUUCCAGUUCUUCACAAAGCCUAAGAAUCGCAAGGUCAUAUACAUGUAAUAUUUAAUUAGGCACUUUUGCUAUCCCUGGAACUACACAAGUCAAUAGAGCUGAUGUUCAUCAUUGUUUCUGGAUUGUACAUCUUUCAGUUGGAUUAAGGUUUUUCCUAUUGUCUGCAAAUGAAACGAACUUGAUGUACCUCUGGUAUGGUAAAAGAAGAGAUUGCCCUUUCCUUUUGUAAAA
Triticum aestivum (bread wheat) is the source of this 1243-nucleotide RNA transcript. RefSeq lists it as uncharacterized. The record is from RefSeq and is a predicted model, not a curated record. Lineage: Eukaryota; Viridiplantae; Streptophyta; Magnoliopsida; Poales; Poaceae. The transcript has 5 exons.